This 497-nucleotide ribosomal RNA is filed under the name uncultured bacterium. RNAcentral describes it as "partial 16S ribosomal RNA". It matches the Rfam family "Bacterial small subunit ribosomal RNA", at positions 28 to 507 of the family's 1533-position model. The record is from RNAcentral.
GAUGAACGCUGGCGGCGUGCCUAAUACAUGCAAGUCGAGCGAACAGAUAAGGAGCUUGCUCCUUUGACGUUAGCGGCGGACGGGUGAGUAACACGUGGGUAACCUACCUAUAAGACUGGGAUAACUUCGGGAAACCGGAGCUAAUACCGGAUAACAUUUGGAACCGCAUGGUUCUAUAGUGAAAGAUGGUUUUGCUAUCACUUAUAGAUGGACCCGCGCCGUAUUAGCUAGUUGGUAAGGUAACGGCUUACCAAGGCGACGAUACGUAGCCGACCUGAGAGGGUGAUCGGCCACACUGGAACUGAGACACGGUCCAGACUCCUACGGGAGGCAGCAGUAGGGAAUCUUCCGCAAUGGGCGAAAGCCUGACGGAGCAACGCCGCGUGAGUGAUGAAGGGUUUCGGCUCGUAAAACUCUGUUAUUAGGGAAGAACAAAUGUGUAAGUAACUGUGCACGUCUUGACGGUACCUAAUCAGAAAGCCACGGCUAACUACGUG